UACAAGUUGAGGCUACAUAAGUCAGUGCU
This 29-nucleotide non-coding RNA is filed under the name Rattus norvegicus (Norway rat). The record is from RNAcentral. Lineage: Eukaryota; Metazoa; Chordata; Mammalia; Rodentia; Muridae.